Molecule: ribosomal RNA, 1026 nt
Filed under: Escherichia coli
Lineage: Bacteria; Pseudomonadati; Pseudomonadota; Gammaproteobacteria; Enterobacterales; Enterobacteriaceae
Description: partial 23S ribosomal RNA
Rfam family: Bacterial large subunit ribosomal RNA
Source: RNAcentral
CAUAGGUUAAUGAGGCGAACCGGGGGAACUGAAACAUCUAAGUACCCCGAGGAAAAGAAAUCAACCGAGAUUCCCCCAGUAGCGGCGAGCGAACGGGGAGCAGCCCAGAGCCUGAAUCAGUGUGUGUGUUAGUGGAAGCGUCUGGAAAGGCGCGCGAUACAGGGUGACAGCCCCGUACACAAAAAUGCACAUGCUGUGAGCUCGAUGAGUAGGGCGGGACACGUGGUAUCCUGUCUGAAUAUGGGGGGACCAUCCUCCAAGGCUAAAUACUCCUGACUGACCGAUAGUGAACCAGUACCGUGAGGGAAAGGCGAAAAGAACCCCGGCGAGGGGAGUGAAAAAGAACCUGAAACCGUGUACGUACAAGCAGUGGGAGCACGCUUAGGCGUGUGACUGCGUACCUUUUGUAUAAUGGGUCAGCGACUUAUAUUCUGUAGCAAGGUUAACCGAAUAGGGGAGCCGAAGGGAAACCGAGUCUUAACUGGGCGUUAAGUUGCAGGGUAUAGACCCGAAACCCGGUGAUCUAGCCAUGGGCAGGUUGAAGGUUGGGUAACACUAACUGGAGGACCGAACCGACUAAUGUUGAAAAAUUAGCGGAUGACUUGUGGCUGGGGGUGAAAGGCCAAUCAAACCGGGAGAUAGCUGGUUCUCCCCGAAAGCUAUUUAGGUAGCGCCUCGUGAAUUCAUCUCCGGGGGUAGAGCACUGUUUCGGCAAGGGGGUCAUCCCGACUUACCAACCCGAUGCAAACUACGAAUACCGGAGAAUGUUAUCACGGGAGACACACGGCGGGUGCUAACGUCCGUCGUGAAGAGGGAAACAACCCAGACCGCCAGCUAAGGUCCCAAAGUCAUGGUUAAGUGGGAAACGAUGUGGGAAGGCCCAGACAGCCAGGAUGUUGGCUUAGAAGCAGCCAUCAUUUAAAGAAAGCGUAAUAGCUCACUGGUCGAGUCGGCCUGCGCGGAAGAUGUAACGGGGCUAAACCAUGCACCGAAGCUGCGGCAGCGACGCUUAUGCGUUGUUGGGUA